AAGCUAAUUUGUAAUUAUCACAAAAACAAAAGAAAGAAAGUAAUUUGUAAUUUAGCAAAAAUAAUUGUGCCAAAAUAGAAGCUAAUUUUCUUUGUGCCCCGCAUUAUAGCUUCACAGAGUUCUUGCAUCAGGUGCAGGUGGGACGUCAGGGUCCUGUCUUUCUAUCUUUUAGUGAAUAAUUAUGUGAAAGCUUGGAGAAAGUUGUGGCCUAUGACAUUCUUCAACUGUUAGCAGAUGGGCUGAUGAUCUGAGAAGAGAUUGUGUUUGAUUAGUGAACUAUUGAUGAAACAACAGUGCUACUGCUUUUAGGCUAAACCACUAUCCCUAAUGUCCAAGGUUUUAUGGUAGAAUUUGACUGGAUUCCGAGAGCACACUCAUUCGCUGAUCCAUAUCCAUGAUCAGACCGUUAUAUAUUGUUGACAGGACUGAGAGAAUGCUCUUGAAUUGCAGUUCAAGCAGAUAAGGAGUCCUACAUCAGAAGGAGUCCUACAAUAUCAUUGAGCGGAAGAUUGUCACAUUCUAGGAUUUUUAAUGUUGGACAAUUUUUUUCGACUGGACGUAUGCUGCUAACAAUAUUCUGGACCAUGGUGUAGCAGAUUCUGAAAGAUUGUACAAUAAUUUGACUACUGCAAACGGAAUCAACUCUCUCUUACAUCUACAAUUUGACAUGCAGUGAUGCAGUGUGCGCAACAAUAGGAUUCUUGUCUGCAAGAACUCUCUUUGAUGGAGUUUUGGCACUGUCUGAUCGUGCAUGUUUGGAGGAAUGGAAUUAAAUAAGUGAAGAUGAAAGAAAACAAUGAAAGUUAAAGGCAAUUUUUGAAAGAAAAAAAAAGAGGCGAGUAAUAGUUCGAGGAACUUUAUAAUCAUCGUAACCGGGUAACUUUUAAUCUCAGCUGCAAUUUAUAAAUGAGACUAUAUAACUGCUUUUCUGUAAAUUGUUUAAGACGUGGUCUAUAGCUGCUUGUUAGACACGUGGCCCACUGUCCACAUAUAGACAUAUAGUGUAUCAUUUUCUACUGUGCUGUGUAUUUAAAAUAUA
Molecule: long non-coding RNA, 1039 nt
Organism: Daucus carota subsp. sativus
Lineage: Eukaryota; Viridiplantae; Streptophyta; Magnoliopsida; Apiales; Apiaceae
Exons: 3
Source: RefSeq, a predicted model, not a curated record